Molecule: long non-coding RNA, 253 nt
Filed under: Musa acuminata (dwarf banana)
Lineage: Eukaryota; Viridiplantae; Streptophyta; Magnoliopsida; Zingiberales; Musaceae
Description: long non-coding RNA (MACU_LNC006892)
Source: RNAcentral
GUUUGGUACAUAUAUAUAGUCCCUAACUAUUUAUAAGAUGCCCUUAAUCCUCUUCUUAUAAUGAUUAUGACUUUAAUCCUCUUGGUUUAAUUAUCAUUAAGCCAAUAGCGCCUAAGAUUAGGAUUUAGGACCAAGAUUAGAAGUUAAACUAUAAAAACAAGAAUGGUAAUUAUUUUCUCUCUGCAAGUUGAGUAUCACUAGAUGGGUUAAUCUCGAGUCUAUAGAGAAUAAAUUCUUAAUUACCGUAGCUGCA